RNAcentral lists this ribosomal RNA (368 nucleotides) under Mantidactylus sp. 10 MV-2009. Its description in RNAcentral is "partial 16S ribosomal RNA". It matches the Rfam family "Bacterial large subunit ribosomal RNA", at positions 2076 to 2606 of the family's 2925-position model. Lineage: Eukaryota; Metazoa; Chordata; Amphibia; Anura; Mantellidae. The record is from RNAcentral.
UAUAAGACGAGAAGACCCUAUGGAGCUUCAAACUCAACUACACCCCUAAUUCCUAUACCCCCUUAGCCAUACCUGGGCCCUGUUUAGUUAGUUUUAGGUUGGGGCGACCACGGAGUAAAACAAAACCUCCACAAUGAACGGGACUACCCCCUUAUCCAAGAGCCACACCCCUAAGAAUUAGAAUACUGACAUAAAAUGAUCCAUUAUUUGAUCAACGAACCAAGUUACCCUAGGGAUAACAGCGCAAUCCAUUUCAAGAGCCCUUAUCGACAAAUGGGUUUACGACCUCGAUGUUGGAUCAGGGUCCCCCAGUGGUGCAGCAGCUACUAACGGUUCGUUUGUUCAACGAUUAAAACCCUACGUGAUCU